AUGCGUGCGGCAUGGAAUCCGGCUCAGGAUGUAGUCUGGAGAAGGAUAAACCCUAACCUUUUCUUGAUUCAGUUCCAUUGUCUUGCGGACUGGAAUAAGGCCCUGCAUCAGGGUCCGUGGGAUUUUAAAGGUUCAGCUCUUCUGAUGACUGAAUAUGAUGGGUUCUCAAACCCAGAGAAAGUCAAGAUUGAUAGGUUGGAAACGUGCUGUCAAAUCCACAAGUUGCCGGAUGGAGUUUUGAAAAAUAAGAACUUUCUGGAAAACAUGGCAAAGCGUAUAGGGGAGGUUCAGGAGGUUCAGAUUACACUCCCUAACAGAUUCAAAUCACCCUCAUGGAUUCGUAGGUGA
RNAcentral lists this ribosomal RNA (348 nucleotides) under Triticum aestivum (bread wheat). Its description in RNAcentral is "partial small subunit ribosomal RNA". The record is from RNAcentral. Lineage: Eukaryota; Viridiplantae; Streptophyta; Magnoliopsida; Poales; Poaceae.